This is a long non-coding RNA of Mustela erminea (ermine), 624 nucleotides long. RefSeq lists it as uncharacterized. The transcript is spliced from 3 exons. NCBI's taxonomy places the organism in Eukaryota, Metazoa, Chordata, Mammalia, Carnivora, Mustelidae. The record is from RefSeq and is a predicted model, not a curated record.
UCCACGUCAGUCAUUCUGAGCACCGCUGGUGGUAUAAUUUCACAGUGGUUAGUCAGGAAAUGCCAUCUGCUAUUAAGCACACCAACUGCAAUCAACAUAGGGAGAUCCACGCUUUGCUCCAACCCACUCAGUGCUAUUCACAUCCUGUCGACCAUCCCUGAAGAGUGACAACUGAUAUUGUAAAGAUUUACUGUGGCCCCAGCAGAAGAUGGAGACAUGUCAGUGUAGCUCUGUCUGCAGACCUGCAGACAUCUGAGCUGCUGGCAAGCCCUUCUCCACCCACCCACGGCCAGGGCCCGCUGCCUAUCCUGGCACCCACUGACUGGGCCGGCCAGGGCCUCCAGGACUAUGACCUUGGCAGCCACAGAAAGAAGAGCUCUGUGUCUCCCCUUCAGGUUCCAUCCCACUGCCAAAGGGCCAGAGAGAGAGCAGGGAAAUUUAUUGCUGACAUCUCUGGGCCCUUCGCCAUUAACAAAGAAGAAGCUGAAUGGGACCUAUGGAGCUUCCAGCCACUCCUUUCCACCUUCUGCGUGGCGUUGACUGCAGGAUUGAGGCCAGGAAGCCCAGAUCUUGUGUCCUGUUCACUAGAACUUUCUUCCAGAAAACAUUUCACUUUCUCAACCU